RNAcentral lists this ribosomal RNA (492 nucleotides) under uncultured bacterium. RNAcentral's name for it is "partial 16S ribosomal RNA". It matches the Rfam family "Bacterial small subunit ribosomal RNA", at positions 29 to 507 of the family's 1533-position model. The record is from RNAcentral.
AGUGAACGCUGGCGGUAGGCCUAACACAUGCAAGUCGAACGGCAGCACAGUAAGAGCUUGCUCUUACGGGUGGCGAGUGGCGGACGGGUGAGGAAUACAUCGGAAUCUACUUUUUCGUGGGGGAUAACGUAGGGAAACUUACGCUAAUACCGCAUACGACCUACGGGUGAAAGCAGGGGAUCUUCGGACCUUGCGCGAUUGAAUGAGCCGAUGUCGGAUUAGCUAGUUGGCGGGGUAAAGGCCCACCAAGGCGACGAUCCGUAGCUGGUCUGAGAGGAUGAGCAGCAACACUGGAACUGAGACACGGUCCAGACUCCUACGGGAGGCAGCAGUGGGGAAUAUUGGACAAAGGGCGCAAGCCUGAUCCAGCCAUACCGCGUGGGUGAAGAAGGCCUUCGGGUUGUAAAGCCCUUUUGUUGGGAAAGAAAAGCAGCAGGUUAAUACCCCGCUGUUCUGACGGUACCCAAAGAAUAAGCACCGGCUAACUUCGUG